This 817-nucleotide long non-coding RNA is filed under the name Homo sapiens (human). Its description in RNAcentral is "novel transcript". Lineage: Eukaryota; Metazoa; Chordata; Mammalia; Primates; Hominidae. The record is from RNAcentral.
GAGGCCUCCCCGUUCGCCUCCCAGAGGCCGCCACUUUCUUCAGGGCUAUCAGAUGAAGGCAGCAACGAAAACACCACCACAAGACCAACUUCAGGCUGGAGCUGAUGAUGCCACACAGAAAAUAGACUCUACUUAGAAAUGAAACUCAACUAAAGGUAAAAGUUGUCAGGAACAUCUCCAAGAAAGCCAGAGUCAGCCUCUAAACUUUGCAUCAAGAACGCAAUGGCUUCCCUGAGGGCCCAGGGACGCGUGGCAGCUGUGAGGCAGCCCCUUCUCUGCUGUCGAGGAACUGGACACUUCUCCUGUCCCUUCCCACAAGGGGCUUCCUGGAGCUCCUGCAACCCCAGGCAUUAGUUCCGGUGCAGUUCUAGGAUCAGAUCAAUUCACUCGACAACAAGAGAAACAAAUGGAGAUUCCUACACAAAGACUUUCAAGCACAAAGAAAUCCUGCUGCCUGUAAAGCGGAGCUGCCUCAGCCCUUGAUGAACGACAGAAAAUCUCACAUUCCAGGAAUUCAGAUGAAGUGAAGUGCUCUCAUGGGGACCAGGCAUGGUUAUGCCAGUCCACUGCCCUGCAAGCCUCAAGGGAAGCCAACUGCCCUUCAGCAAGUCACACCUGCCUUGGUGGAGGCCUUGAUUGGAAGUGCCACACGCUACAUGUCCAGUCCUGAGCGGGAGAAUCGGUGUAGGGACGUUCUGGGGAUGCCAGCUGUGGCCAGAUCAGGUCCAACUACAGAAGAAUAAUGAAGACUCCACCUGAGGGCUGGAAAAACAAAACCUCAAGUGUGAGGCAGCCAACCUGUUACCUCGAGGGACUG